Carya illinoinensis is the source of this 1697-nucleotide long non-coding RNA. RefSeq lists it as uncharacterized. The record is from RefSeq and is a predicted model, not a curated record. NCBI's taxonomy places the organism in Eukaryota, Viridiplantae, Streptophyta, Magnoliopsida, Fagales, Juglandaceae. The transcript is spliced from 4 exons.
UACUCAUUUUAGUCUUCGUCUUCUCCAUCUCCACGAUUCCAUGUCUCGUCUUCUCCAUCCCAAGCCGUAUCUCGUCUUCUCCAUCCCCACGAAGUGAAGUUCAUUUUGGUCUUCAUCUUCUCCAUCCUCACAAAGCCCCAUCCCCAUGAAGUCUUAUAUUCUCCCACGAAGCCUCAUUUCAUUUCCCAUUUUCCUUCUCCCCUGCUCAUUCUCCCUUUCUCCUUCACCUUCUCCUUCUCACCCUUCCUCUCUUUCCAAGAUCUGUUCCUUCCCCCUUCUCCGAAAUCCUAACCCUAACCCCUUUAUCCCAAUCCCUAACCUAGCCCGUGGCUGUCUUCAUGGGUGUCGUCGUGGGUGCCCAGAGGUCCUUCAUGGGUGUCUUCGUGAUGAUUGAAAGUCUCAAUACCGGAUAUUAUUUUGAUUGUGGCCAAAAUAGUCCUUGUUGGUGGGUCAACACCAGCUUCUUGUGAGUAAGGUUUGAGAUCUGAGUUGUGAGCAGCUGCUUAUAAUAAUAUUUCCUCACAAAUCAUAACACAAAUUUCUUUAUGGUGAGAUAUUUGGGGGCAGGUAUGCAAGUUUUGAUCCCUUGGUGACUUUCAGUACACUUUUUGCAUAGUUGGAUUGUCCUGUUUAGAUGAUUGGAUACUUGGAUCAAUGAUUAGUUGGAUUAGUUUGAUUAGCUGGAUUGCCAUAUAUGCUCUCAUUGAUUGGAUGCUUACACUGUCUAAGUGUAAGUGUCAAUUUGAGUAGUGUUUGUGUCACUUUGAUUCUCACAGUGGGUUUAUGAAGACAAGCUUGUCGCACUUGAAGCCUGGACUUACUUGAAACCUGGAGUUUCCAACAUUUUCUUUUGUGUUUGUGGUUCAUUAUCAAUAAGGAGUUUCUCAAGGAGAGGCUGUUUUUCCAAUCUACUUCCUGCUAUGUUGUUUACCAGUGCUUCUAACCUGGAACCCAUGAUAAUGGCUCGACUAAUGCAUGUUGAAGGUAGCUGCAGAAGGUAGGAGUUGCAAAUAACAAAAGCAAUAGUCAAAAUAUCUAAUAAAUGUGAAGCUUCGGUGACAACACACCAAUAUAAAAGCACCUGCAAAAGAGGCUCAUCCUCCUAGAGUAAAAACAGAAUAUCUACUUACCCAAGAUAUUAAUUUCCCUUCCCAACUUUUUAAAUUUCCCUUUUUUCCCACUUCUCCCUCCCUCUUUUUUUAAAUUUCCGCUAAAACCAAAAUUUAAGGUAAGCUUGUUAUUUGCCAUGUAUAUGUGAUUUACUCUUUUUCGGUAGAAAUCCACUUCAUAAAGAUUAUCACAAAGAGGCAAAUUUAUAAUAUGAAUCACAGCACAUAACUGCAAGGAGAGAGGCAGAGACAGGAGAUUUCAAGUUACCUGUGCAUUCUGUGCAACCUUAAAACCAAAACUACUCUCUGAAACGCCAGUCGCAAGCUUAUAUAGGCUUGAGAUCUAAGUUGUGAGCAGCUGCUUAUAAUAAUAUUCUUGAGCAACAAGCAGAAAUAAGACGUUUACGCACGCUACUCCUCACUACUCCGUAUCUAUUGGGCUUUUGCCAUUGUUGUUUCAUGUUAUUUGGUAGUAUGUAAGUGAUUUAGGACUGGUAUUGAUAGUAUGUACUUCGAGUUAGUCAGAUUGUGUAUUUCCCCUGUUGUUCUGUGUAUGUUAUCAUAAUCUUCAUGUUUCCUAGAAACAAA